RNAcentral lists this ribosomal RNA (253 nucleotides) under uncultured bacterium. RNAcentral describes it as "partial 16S ribosomal RNA". It matches the Rfam family "Bacterial small subunit ribosomal RNA", at positions 524 to 776 of the family's 1533-position model. The record is from RNAcentral.
UACGUAGGGGGCUAGCGUUGUCCGGAAUCAUUGGGCGUAAAGAGCGUGUAGGCGGUCCGGUAAGUCCGCUGUGAAAGCCCCGGGCUUAACCUGGGAAUGGCCAUGGAAACUGGCGAGCUGGAGUGUGGCAGAGGGGGGUGGAAUUCCGCGUGUAGCAGUGAAAUGCGUAGAGAUGCGGAGGAACACCGAUGGCGAAGGCAGCCCCCUGGGCUAACACUGACGCUCAGGCACGAAAGCGUGGGGAGCAAACAGG